UAGUGUGGCCCAGAGACAUCUCAAGGUUGGACACCCCCAUCAGAGUGUUGAAAACAAAUUAAUAUUUAUCUAUUUAAAGCUUUUAUAAAUAAACUGCCCCAUUUACAUUUUGUUUUCCGUGGCUUAUAUAAUAUUUCACAAGUUUAAAGGUCACCCUUUAAUUUUUUUUGAUAAUAACUGGAAUAUGAGUGGAUACUUUUUACAAAAACACUUUUAUUGUGGAAAAUUUCAAACACAGAGGUCUUUUGAGUGCCAGGCAUUUCUGGCCUUUGUGUGACUUGCAUGUUGAUUCUGGGUGUCUGCCUGCCCCGAAACAUGCCACCCCAGCGUGCUCCGUCCCUGCCAGCUCCGAGCCUGGGACCUGGAGGUUUAGAGAGUGAGGGUUCUGACUGCUGCCUGUGGUUUACUAGCAAAUAGGAAAUUAAAAGGUAAAACUGGAGAAGGUAGGUGACAGGGAGCAGAGGGGGAGAAAGAAAGAGGGCCACUACUGCAGGACUCACUGGCUCUUCCCUCCCCGUGUAGGGGGGAGUCUGUGGGGACUCAGGGCCCAGGCCCCUUGUGGAGGAAGAGCUGCUCCCAGAGCUCCCGCCUGCUUCUCCUGUCCCUGGGGUGAGGUACCUAGCGCUCCUCCUCCUUCCUCUUGGUUCAUUGCUGCUUUAUUGCCUCUGAGGGUUUUGGCUGCAGGAAGGAGGGGUCGCUUUGCAUCUGUACAAAAACGUUAAACUUUCCCUGGAAUUGCUGCAGGCCCUUUAUUGCGCUUCAAACAAAGAAAUUACAUCUGCCCUGGCUACCCCUCCACUUGACUCUGACC
Phyllostomus discolor (pale spear-nosed bat) is the source of this 811-nucleotide long non-coding RNA. RefSeq lists it as uncharacterized. The record is from RefSeq and is a predicted model, not a curated record. The transcript is spliced from 3 exons. Lineage: Eukaryota; Metazoa; Chordata; Mammalia; Chiroptera; Phyllostomidae.